Molecule: ribosomal RNA, 468 nt
Filed under: uncultured bacterium
Lineage: Bacteria
Description: partial 16S ribosomal RNA
Rfam family: Bacterial small subunit ribosomal RNA
Source: RNAcentral
GACGAACGCUGGCGGCGUGCUUAACACAUGCAAGUCGAACGGAAAGGCCCUGCUUUUGUGGGGUGCUCGAGUGGCGAACGGGUGAGUAACACGUGAGUAACCUGCCCUUGACUUUGGGAUAACUUCAGGAAACUGGGGCUAAUACCGGAUAGGAGCUCCUGCUGCAUGGUGGGGGUUGGAAAGUUUCGGCGGUUGGGGAUGGACUCGCGGCUUAUCAGCUUGUUGGUGGGGUAGGGGCUUACCAAGGCUUUGACGGGUAGCCGGCCUGAGAGGGUGACCGGCCACAUUGGGACUGCGGUACGGCCCAGACUCCUACGGUGGGCAGCGGUGGGGAAUCUUGCCCAGUGGGCGGAAGCCUGAUGCGGCAGCGCCGCGUGCGUGAUGACGGCCUUCGGGUUGUGAACCGCUUUCGCCUGUGACGAAGCGUGAGUGACGGUAAUGGGUAAAGAAGCACCGGCUAACUACGUG